CCUACGGGCGGCAGCAGUGAGGAAUAUUGGUCAAUGGGCGGGAGCCUGAACCAGCCAAGCCGCGUGAGGGAAGAAGGUACAGCGUAUUGUAAACCUCUUUUGUCAGGGAACAAAGGCGGGGACUAGUCCCCGGAUGAGAGUACCUGAAGACAAAGCAUCGGCUAACUCCGUGCCAUCAGCCGCGGUAAUACGGAGGAUGCGAGCGUUAUCCGGAUUUAUUGGGUUUAAAGGGUGCCCAGGCGGCAUGUUAAGUCAGCGGUAAACGACCGGGGCGAAACCCCGGCGAGCCGUUGAAACUGGCGGUCUGGAGUUGGCGAGAAGUACGCGGAAUGCGUGGUGUAGCGGGGAAAUGCUUAGAGAUCACGCAGAACCCCGAUUGCGAAGGCAGCGUACCGGCGCCACACUGACGCUGAGGCACGAAAGCGUGGGUAGCGAACAGGAUUAGAUACCCUAGUAGUC
Molecule: ribosomal RNA, 459 nt
Filed under: uncultured bacterium
Lineage: Bacteria
Description: partial 16S ribosomal RNA
Rfam family: Bacterial small subunit ribosomal RNA
Source: RNAcentral